Molecule: ribosomal RNA, 435 nt
Filed under: Streptococcus pneumoniae
Lineage: Bacteria; Bacillati; Bacillota; Bacilli; Lactobacillales; Streptococcaceae
Description: bacterial SSU rRNA
Rfam family: Bacterial small subunit ribosomal RNA
Source: RNAcentral
UUAAUGAGAGUUUGAUCCUGGCUCAGGACGAACGCUGGCGGCGUGCCUAAUACAUGCAAGUAGAACGCUGAAGGAGGAGCUUGCUUCUCUGGAUGAGUUGCGAACGGGUGAGUAACGCGUAGGUAACCUGCCUGGUAGCGGGGGAUAACUAUUGGAAACGAUAGCUAAUACCGCAUAAGAGUGGAUGUUGCAUGACAUUUGCUUAAAAGGUGCACUUGCAUCACUACCAGAUGGACCUGCGUUGUAUUAGCUAGUUGGUGGGGUAAGGGCUCACCAAGGCGACGAUACAUAGCCGACCUGAGAGGGUGAUCGGCCACACUGGGACUGAGACACGGCCCAGACUCCUACGGGAGGCAGCAGUAGGGAAUCUUCGGCAACGGACGGAAGUCUGACCGAGCAACGCCGCGCAAAUGAAGAAGGUUUUUGGAAUGUCAA